RNAcentral lists this ribosomal RNA (512 nucleotides) under uncultured bacterium. RNAcentral's name for it is "bacterial SSU rRNA". It matches the Rfam family "Bacterial small subunit ribosomal RNA", at positions 28 to 526 of the family's 1533-position model. The record is from RNAcentral.
GACGAACGCUGGCGGCGUGCUUAACACAUGCAAGUGGAGCGACGAACCGGGGCUUGCCCCGGGGCAGAGCCGCGAACGGGUGAGUAACACGUGGGUAACCCACCUCGAUGACCGGGACAACCCGAGGAAACUCGGGCUAAUACCGGAUGUGAUCCAUUUUCAUAAGGAAUUGGAUGAAAGAUAGCUUUGGCCUUCGCAUCGAGACGGGCCCGCGGCCCAUUAGCUUGUUGGUGAGGUAACGGCUUACCAAGGCUUCGAUGGGUAGCUGGUCUGAGAGGACGAUCAGCCACACUGGGACUGAGACACGGCCCAGACUCCUACGGGAGGCAGCAGUGGGGAAUCUUGCACAAUGCGCGAAAGCGUGAUGCAGCAACGCCGCGUGGGGGAAGAAGGCCUUCGGGUUGUAAACCCCUUUCAGUUGGGACGAAGCUUCGACGGUGAAUAGCCGGCUGGAGUGACGGUACCUUCAGAAGAAGCCCCGGCUAACUACGUGCCAGCCGCCGCGGUAACAC